Molecule: ribosomal RNA, 253 nt
Filed under: uncultured bacterium
Lineage: Bacteria
Description: partial 16S ribosomal RNA
Rfam family: Bacterial small subunit ribosomal RNA
Source: RNAcentral
UACAGAGGUCUCAAGCGUUGUUCGGAUUUAUUGGGCGUAAAGGGCUCGUAGGCGGUUCGUCGCGUCGGCUGUGAAAACCCGGAGCUCAACUCCGGGCCUGCAGUCGAUACGGGCGGACUUGAGUGUUGCAGGGGAGACUGGAAUUCCUGGUGUAGCGGUGAAAUGCGCAGAUAUCAGGAGGAACACCGGUGGCGAAGGCGGGUCUCUGGGCAACUACUGACGCUGAGGAGCGAAAGCGUGGGGAGCGAACAGG